This 1429-nucleotide ribosomal RNA is filed under the name uncultured organism. RNAcentral's name for it is "SSU rRNA". It matches the Rfam family "Bacterial small subunit ribosomal RNA". The record is from RNAcentral.
ACAUGCAAGUCGAGGGGCAGCAUGGCCUUAGCUUGCUAAGGCCGAUGGCGACCGGCGCACGGGUGAGUAACACGUAUCCAACCUGCCGUCUACUCUUGGACAGCCUUCUGAAAGGAAGAUUAAUACAAGAUGGCAUCAUGAGUCCGCAUGUUCACAUGAUUAAAGGUAUUCCGGUAGACGAUGGGGAUGCGUUCCAUUAGAUAGUAGGCGGGGUAACGGCCCACCUAGUCUUCGAUGGAUAGGGGUUCUGAGAGGAAGGUCCCCCACAUUGGAACUGAGACACGGUCCAAACUCCUACGGGAGGCAGCAGUGAGGAAUAUUGGUCAAUGGGCGAGAGCCUGAACCAGCCAAGUAGCGUGAAGGAUGACUGCCCUAUGGGUUGUAAACUUCUUUUAUAAAGGAAUAAAGUCGGGUAUGCAUACCCGUUUGCAUGUACUUUAUGAAUAAGGAUCGGCUAACUCCGUGCCAGCAGCCGCGGUAAUACGGAGGAUCCGAGCGUUAUCCGGAUUUAUUGGGUUUAAAGGGAGCGUAGAUGGAUGUUUAAGUCAGUUGUGAAAGUUUGCGGCUCAACCGUAAAAUUGCAGUUGAUACUGGAUAUCUUGAGUGCAGUUGAGGCAGGCGGAAUUCGUGGUGUAGCGGUGAAAUGCUUAGAUAUCACGAAGAACUCCGAUUGCGAAGGCAGCCUGCUAAGCUGCAACUGACAUUGAGGCUCGAAAGUGUGGGUAUCAAACAGGAUUAGAUACCCUGGUAGUCCACACGGUAAACGAUGAAUACUCGCUGUUUGCGAUAUACAGCAAGCGGCCAAGCGAAAGCGUUAAGUAUUCCACCUGGGGAGUACGCCGGCAACGGUGAAACUCAAAGGAAUUGACGGGGGCCCGCACAAGCGGAGGAACAUGUGGUUUAAUUCGAUGAUACGCGAGGAACCUUACCCGGGCUUAAAUUGCAGAUGAAUUACGGUGAAAGCCGUAAGCCGCAAGGCAUCUGUGAAGGUGCUGCAUGGUUGUCGUCAGCUCGUGCCGUGAGGUGUCGGCUUAAGUGCCAUAACGAGCGCAACCCUUGUUGUCAGUUACUAACAGGUUCCGCUGAGGACUCUGACAAGACUGCCAUCGUAAGAUGUGAGGAAGGUGGGGAUGACGUCAAAUCAGCACGGCCCUUACGUCCGGGGCUACACACGUGUUACAAUGGGGGGUACAGAGGGCCGCUACCACGCGAGUGGAUGCCAAUCCCCAAAACCUCUCUCAGUUCGGACUGGAGUCUGCAACCCGACUCCACGAAGCUGGAUUCGCUAGUAAUCGCGCAUCAGCCACGGCGCGGUGAAUACGUUCCCGGGCCUUGUACACACCGCCCGUCAAGCCAUGGGAGCCGGGGGUACCUGAAGUGCGUAACCGCGGGGAGCGCCCUAGGGUAAAACUGGUGAUUGGGGCUAAGU